AACGUAGGAGACGAGUGUUAUUCGGAUUUACUGGGCGUAAAGCGCGUGCAGGCGGUUUGGAAAGUUGGAUGUGAAAGCUCCUGGCUUAACUGGGAGAGGUCGUUCAAUACUACCAGACUAGAGGAUAUGAGAGGGAGGUGGAAUUCCGAGUGUAGUGGUGAAAUGCGUAGAUAUUCGGAGGAACACCAGUGGCGAAAGCGGCCUCCUGGCAUAUUUCUGACGCUCAGACGCGAAAGCUAGGGUAGCAAACGGG
Molecule: ribosomal RNA, 253 nt
Filed under: uncultured bacterium
Lineage: Bacteria
Description: partial 16S ribosomal RNA
Rfam family: Bacterial small subunit ribosomal RNA
Source: RNAcentral